GGGCACUUAGCUCAGCUGGUUAGAGCGCUCGCCUUACAAGCGAGAGGUCGGGGGUUCGAGUCCCUCAGCGCCCACAA
RNAcentral lists this transfer RNA (77 nucleotides) under Chloroflexota bacterium. Its description in RNAcentral is "Chloroflexi bacterium tRNA-Val". It matches the Rfam family "tRNA". Rfam says of the family: Transfer RNA (tRNA) molecules are approximately 80 nucleotides in length. Their secondary structure includes four short double-helical elements and three loops (D, anti-codon, and T loops). Further hydrogen bonds mediate the characteristic L-shaped molecular structure. tRNAs have two regions of fundamental functional importance: the anti-codon, which is responsible for specific mRNA codon recognition, and the 3' end, to which the tRNAs corresponding amino acid is attached (by aminoacyl-tRNA synthetases). tRNAs cope with the degeneracy of the genetic code in two manners: having more than one tRNA (with a specific anti-codon) for a particular amino acid; and 'wobble' base-pairing, i.e. permitting non-standard base-pairing at the 3rd anti-codon position. The record is from RNAcentral. Lineage: Bacteria; Bacillati; Chloroflexota.